AGAAGUUGACAUGCUUACACAUGCAGUCGAUUCAAGUUACCUUCGGGUAAUGAGGAUGGCGGACGGGUGAGUAACGCGUAAGGAACUUGCCUCUUGGACUGGGACAACUGUUGGAAACGACAGCUAAUACCGGAUAUUAUGAGAUUCUCGCAUGAGAAACUUAUGAAAGCUAUAUGCGCCAAGAGAGAGCCUUGCGUUCCAUUAGCUAGUUGGUGGGGUAACGGCCCACCAAGGCGACGAUGGAUAGCCGGCCUGAGAGGGUGAACGGCCACAAGGGGACUGAGACACGGCCCUUACUCCUACGGGAGGCAGCAGUGGGGAAUAUUGGACAAUGGGCCACAAGCCUGAUCCAGCAAUUCUGUGUGCACGAUGAAGGUCUUCGGAUUGUAAAGUGCUUUCAGUUGGGAAGAAGAAAGUGACAGUACCAACAGAAGAAGCGACGGCUAAAUACGUGCCAGCAGCCGCGGUAAUACGUAUGUCGCAAGCGUUAUCCGGAUUUAUUGGGCGUAAAGCGCGUCUAGGCGGAAAAAUAAGUCUGAUGUUAAAAUGCGGGGCUCAACUCCGUAUUGCGUUGGAAACUGUUUUUCUAGAGUACUGGAGAGGUGGGCGGAACUACAAGUGUAGAGGUGAAAUUCGUAGAUAUUUGUAGGAAUGCCGAUGGAGAAGUCAGCUCACUGGACAGAUACUGACGCUGAAGCGCGAAAGCGUGGGGAGCAAACAGGAUUAGAUACCCUGGUAGUCCACGCCGUAAACGAUGAUCACUAGGUGUUGGGGGUCGAACCUCAGCGCCCAAGCUAACGCGAUAAGUGAUCCGCCUGGGGAGUACGCACGCAAGUGUGAAACUCAAAGGAAUUGACGGGGACCCGCACAAGCGGUGGAGCAUGUGGUUUAAUUCGACGCAACGCGAGAAACCUUACCAGCGUUUGACAUCCUAAGAAGUUUCCAGAGAUGGAUUCGUGCCGGCUUGCCGGAACUUAUUGACAUGUGGUGCAUGGCUGGCUGCAGCUCUGGUCUUGACAUGUUGGGUUUGUUCCCGCAACGAACGCAGCCCCUAUUGGAGGUGGCUACCAUUUAGUGUGACGACUCUUGGGAAACUGCCUGCAAUUAGCAUGAGGAAAGUGUCGUAAUUAGGUUAUAUGUGUAUUGGUGGUCUUUAG
This 1157-nucleotide ribosomal RNA is filed under the name uncultured bacterium. Its description in RNAcentral is "bacterial SSU rRNA". It matches the Rfam family "Bacterial small subunit ribosomal RNA", at positions 31 to 1205 of the family's 1533-position model. The record is from RNAcentral.